UCUGCUGCCAGCUGAUCGUGUUGAUGUUUUUCUAUUCUGAAUAAUUCUGACUUAAGCGGCUGUCCAGUCAGGAGACUCAGGUGCUCUGCCAGUCUGCUUUGUUCAUGAGGUCGCACUUUGCAGACAGCAAGAUAAGCCUGUUAAUUCGCGGCCAACACUUUUGUGGGACUUGUCGAUUUUUGAUGCUUAGUUUUGCUUGUCGAAGCUUGGCUGACUUUUGGUUUUCUUCUGGCUACUGAGUUCAAAGUUUUUGUUGCAGACCCAGCAUAAUUUUUAGGUCAAGCAGUUCCACUACAGUAAAGAUCAAGUUCCCUCUGCCCAAGAGAGUUGAACAGAAGACCACCUCUUGACUUUAUAGAGCAGAUUAACCCCGAGAGGUCUCUGACCAAGAACGUUGAUUCGAUUCUCUCUUCAGAGGCAACAUAAUACUUAUAAAGAGUAAACUUGAGCAUGUCCAGCACUACCGUAAUUUUAGUGUCCAUCACCAUAUUUGACCUCACAGCAUUCAGCGAAUUCAGCGCAACUUGCUUCCGGCCUCGCUGAGGGAACUAGCAAAGCUGGACGCCGAGUCCCCAAUGCCGGCCUGGAUGGCCUCCCGGAAGAGCUCAGGAUGGACCAUCUCUAACCCAGACCAGACCAUGUUUUUCGGCAUUUGCCCUGCGUGACCUUCGAAAAAGACCAGGGCGUCUCGAUCUCUUCAGGGUGUCGCUGCCAAAUUCAUCAGCCAAAUGCAACCUCGUGGCCACACUUUCAGCGUCCAGGGUUCCAGCAGGGACUUGUUGCACUGGUUAGUCAACCCUGGCAACUUUAACUUGUAGGCGGCCCCACAGUAGAGAGCCUGAAGGAUAUUCAACUACUUCAAACUGUGCAGAUUUUGCGCACUCAUUACCAGCACCACAUAGACUUCUCACGCGUACUCAAGGAUGAUGGACCUUAAGAGAAGAAAACUCUGUUUACGAGCAUUCUGAAGAUCUUGAAGGCUUUCUCUUUGACGGCUUGAUCCUCUUCUCUGUCCUCUGCCAGGAGGUACUCUGCCAAGGCUUACCAGAUGCGAAGCGCUUAACAAUGUCGGAACUGAAAUUAUCAUUACCAUCACCCUGGGACCAGCAUGUGUAAAAGAAUUGAGGUGACUAAGAGUACAUCCAGUUCUUCAAUGUCCUCUGCAGCUUGUCGGCAGGAACUUCUUUAAUCUUAUGCCAAGGUUACUGUGGGUAACCACCGCAUGAACCCCCAGACUGAACACACUCACAAGGUUAUGAGGACAUGACUUAAUAAUUGAAACCUGGAGAGAGAGUGGAGACUGGCAGAAAGCCUUCCGCGACAGCGCCCUUGGUUUGUUUGUCUUGACAGACCACAAAAACAAAAUGCACAAAGUUCAAUGACGUCGAUUUUAAUGUGUCCCCCAGAUGCAAAUUCUCUCUUAGAGACCAAGUCAUGGUUUCAUGUGCAAAAACUAUUGGGUUUGGCGCUACAAAAUCAAUAUCAAGAUGUUUGACCAGCCUUCUGAUCAUUGAGUCUGAGCGAGUCCAACGCCAAGGAACCUUUUGUGAUGUGCAUGGUCACCACGUGAGAUGCAGGUCCCAAAACUUAAAUUCAAUGGAUCAUUUUUUUGCUCAUGCUACACAACAUCUUCUCUUAAAUCUAACAGUUUUGCAGUGAAAUCAGCGCGAGUUGCUUCCGGCCUCACUGAGGGAACUGGCAAAGCUGGACGCCGAGUCCCCAAUGCCAGCCUCAAUGGCCUCCUGGAAGAGCUCAGGACGGACCAUCUCCAUCACAGACCAGGCCAUGUUUUUUGGCAUCCGCCCUGCGUGACCUUCUACAAAGGCCAGGGCGCCUCUCUUCAAGGCGUCGCAGCCAAAUUCAUCAGCCAGAAGCAACCUAGCGGCUACACUUUCGGCGUCCAAAGUUUCCAGCAGGGACCUCUCGCACAGGGUGGUCAACCCUGGCAACUCGUAUUUGUAGGCGGCCCCCAGAAGAGAGGCGGCCACCGAGUCCAGGUUCUCCACUCGGCCGGUGUAGAUGUACCUGAGGAUCUCCUGCAGGUUUUCGGCGGUCAGGUCGCUCAACUCGAGAGUAGGGGUGGUUUCUAAUUUUUCAUCAAUGUCUGAAAUCAUUCCAGCAAGGCGGGGCGAACGCGCGCCAAGGAUGCAGCAGUGCGCUGGGAAAAGGGCGCCGCCGGCAGCGCGCAGUUUGACGUCACCUUUGGCCCACGGCAGUUCUGAGGGGGCCAGGUCGUCGUCUGAGCUGCACAACAAGGAACCCAUGUCUUGGGAGAGGCUGUGCUGCUCGUCAUCACUGCCCGUUGGGACAACCUGGAAAUUGAAGAGACAAAUUUAGAGUUUUUAUUGGAAUUUUAAAUGGUUUAUAUAUGUAUUUUUUUUUAAUUUUUAUAAACAUAAUAUAAUAGACAAAAAAAGAGCAAAAUUUUAAUUUCUGAUUAGAGACAAUUAGAUACAUCAAUGUAAAAACUAACUGCUUAUGACAAAAAUUAUCUUUAUUUUAUUAAAAAAAGCUGAAAUCACAGGUUAAAAUGUUCCAGGUAAAGUAAAUGUGAUUCCAAAGAGUCUCAAUCGGCUAUUUUUCAUUUUUUGGCUAGUCCUUUGUUUCAAAAUCGUGUAAAUUGAAAUAAGUUUCAAUUAAUUUUUUGUUAAUUAAUGACGGCACAGAAUUUUAAAAUGACAAGGAACUUAUUUAAAUAUAUAAAAAAAAAACAAUUUAUUUGCUUGAAGUUUCUACAAAGUAAUGUGUACUGUACUAUUGUCAAAAAAAAAUUAAAAUUCUUGAAAAAAAUAUUUCAAAAUGGAUCAAAAUCUCAAUAUAUAGUUUAAAAAAAUUCCAGACAUUAUUUGUA
This is a long non-coding RNA of Neocloeon triangulifer, 2851 nucleotides long. RefSeq lists it as uncharacterized. The record is from RefSeq and is a predicted model, not a curated record. NCBI's taxonomy places the organism in Eukaryota, Metazoa, Arthropoda, Insecta, Ephemeroptera, Baetidae. The transcript is spliced from 8 exons.